GCAUAUCAAUAAGCGGAGGAAAAGAAACCAACAGGGAUUGCCCCAGUAACGGCGAGUGAAGCGGCAAGAGCUCAAAUUUGAAAGCUGGCUCCUUCGGGGUCCGCAUUGUAAUUUGUAGAGGAUGCUUCGGGAGCGGUCCCCAUCUAAGUGCCCUGGAACGGGACGUCAUAGAGGGUGAGAAUCCCGUAUGGGAUGGGGUGUCCGCGCCCGUGUGAAGCUCCUUCGACGAGUCGAGUUGUUUGGGAAUGCAGCUCUAAAUGGGUGGUAAAUUUCAUCUAAAGCUAAAUAUUGGCCGGAGCCCGAUAGCGCACAAGUAGAGUGAUCGAAAGAUGAAAAGCACUUUGAAAAGAGAGUUAAAAAGCACGUGAAAUUGUUGAAAGGGAAGCGCUUGCGACCAGACUCGCUCGCGGGGUUCAGCCGGCAUUCGUGCCGGUGUACUUCCCCGCGGGCGGGCCAGCGUCGGUUUGGGCGGUCGGUCAAAGGCCCUCGGAAGGUAACGCCCCCAGGGGCGUCUUAUAGCCGAGGGUGCAAUGCGACCUCCCUAGACCGAGGAACGCGCUUCGGCUCGGACGCUGGCAUAAUGGUCGUAAACGACCCGUCUUGAAACACGGACCAAGGAGUCUAACAUCUACGCGAGUGUUCGGGUGUCAAACCCGUGCGCGAAGUGAAAGCGAACGGAGGUGGGAACCCUCACGGGUGCACCAUCGACCGAUCCUGAAGUCUUCGGAUGGAUUUGAGUAAGAGCGUAGCUGUUGGGACCCGAAAGAUGGUGAACUAUGCCUGAAUAGGGCGAAGCCAGAGGAAACUCUGGUGGAGGCUCGUAGCGGUUCUGACGUGCAAAUCGAUCGUCAGAAUUUGGGUAUAGGGGCGAAAGAC
This 876-nucleotide ribosomal RNA is filed under the name Penicillium mononematosum. RNAcentral's name for it is "LSU rRNA". It matches the Rfam family "Eukaryotic large subunit ribosomal RNA", at positions 38 to 931 of the family's 3401-position model. The record is from RNAcentral. Lineage: Eukaryota; Fungi; Ascomycota; Eurotiomycetes; Eurotiales; Aspergillaceae.